This 1449-nucleotide ribosomal RNA is filed under the name uncultured bacterium. RNAcentral describes it as "16S ribosomal RNA". It matches the Rfam family "Bacterial small subunit ribosomal RNA". The record is from RNAcentral.
AGGGUUUGAUCAUGGCUCAGAACGUACGCUGGCGGCACGCCUAACACAUGCAAGUCGAACGAAGUAGCAAUACUUAGUGGCAGACGGGUGAGUAACAUGUGGGUAUCUGCCCUUUGGCCUGGAAUAACACGAGGAAACUUGUGCUAAUACCGGAUAAGUCUUUACGGAGAAAGCUUUAUGCACCAUUGGAUGAGCCCGCACUUGAUUAGUUUGUUGGUGGGGUAAUGGCCUACCAAGACUGUGAUCAAUAGCUGAUUUGAGAGGAUGAUCAGCCACAUUGGGACUGAGACACGGCCCAAACUCCUACGGGAGGCAGCAGUGGGGAAUCUUGCACAAUGGAGGAAACUCUGAUGCAGCGAUGCCGCGUGAGUGAAGAAGGCCCUUGGGUUGUAAAGCUCUUUCGUCGGGGAAGAAAAUGACUGUACCCGAAUAAGAAGGUCCGGCUAACUUCGUGCCAGCAGCCGCGGUAAUACGAAGGGACCUAGCGUAGUUCGGAAUUACUGGGCUUAAAGAGUUCGUAGGUGGUUGAAAAAGUUAGUGGUGAAAUCCCAGAGCUUAACUCUGGAACUGCCAUUAAAACUUUUUAGCUAGAGUAUGAUAGAGGAAAGCAGAAUUUCUAGUGUAGAGGUGAAAUUCGUAGAUAUUAGAAAGAAUACCAAUUGCGAAGGCAGCUUUCUGGAUCAUUACUGACACUGAGGAACGAAAGCAUGGGUAGCGAAGAGGAUUAGAUACCCUCGUAGUCCAUGCCGUAAACGAUGUGUGUUAGACGUUGGAAAUUUAUUUUCAGUGUCGCAGCGAAAGCGAUAAACACACCGCCUGGGGAGUACGACCGCAAGGUUAAAACUCAAAUGAAUUGACGGGGACCCGCACAAGUAGUGGAGCAUGUGGUUUAAUUCGAAGAUACGCGCAGAACCUUACCAACACUUGACAUGUUCGUCGCGACUCUAAGAGAUUAGAGUUUUCGGUUCGGCCGGACGAAACACAGGUGCUGCAUGGCUGUCGUCAGCUCGUGUCGUGAGAUGUUGGGUUAAGUCCCGCAACGAGCGCAACCCUCACUUUUAGUUGCCAUCAUUAAGUUGGGCACUCUGAAAGAACUGCCAGUGAUAAGCUGGAGGAAGGUGGGGAUGACGUCAAGUCCUCAUGGCCCUUACGUGUUGGGCUACACACGUGCUACAAUGGUAUCUACAACAGGAAGCAAGACUGCGAGGUCAAGCAAAUCCUUAAAAGAUACCUCAGUUCGGAUUGCACUCUGCAACUCGAGUGCAUGAAGCUGGAAUUACUAGUAAUCGUGGAUCAGCGUGCCACGGUGAAUGCGUUCCCGGGCCUUGUACACACCGCCCGUCACACCAUGGGAGUGGGUUUUACCAGAAGUAGUUAGUCUAACCGUAAGGGAGACGAUUACCACGGUAGGAUUCAUGACUGGGGUGAAGUCGUAACAAGGUAGCCGUA